AGAACGAACGCUGGCGGCAGGCUUAACACAUGCAAGUCGAACGCUCGUAGCAAUACGGGAGUGGCAGACGGGUGAGUAACGCGUGGGAACAUACCCUCCGGUUCGGAAUAGCUCAGGGAAACUUGGAUUAAUACCGGAUACGGCCGAGAGGCGAAAGAUUUAUCGCCGGAGGAUUGGCCCGCGUUCGAUUAGCUAGUUGGUGAGGUAACGGCUCACCAAGGCGAUGAUCGAUAGCUGGUCUGAGAGGAUGAUCAGCCACAUUGGGACUGAGACACGGCCCAAACCCCUACGGGAGGCAGCAGUGGGGAAUAUUGGACAAUGGGCGCAAGCCUGAUCCAGCCAUGCCGCGUGAGUGAUGACGGCCUUAGGGUUGUAAAGCUCUUUCGCUCGGGACGAUAAUGACGGUACCGAGAUAAGAGCCCCGGCUAACUUCGUGCCAGCAGCCGC
Molecule: ribosomal RNA, 447 nt
Filed under: uncultured bacterium
Lineage: Bacteria
Description: SSU rRNA
Rfam family: Bacterial small subunit ribosomal RNA
Source: RNAcentral